RNAcentral lists this ribosomal RNA (40 nucleotides) under Bidens alba. RNAcentral's name for it is "partial 26S ribosomal RNA". The record is from RNAcentral. Lineage: Eukaryota; Viridiplantae; Streptophyta; Magnoliopsida; Asterales; Asteraceae. RNAcentral also lists the same sequence under 7 other names.
GCGACCCCAGGUCAGGCGGGACUACCCGCUGAGUUUAAGC